CCUACGGGGGGCAGCAGUCGAGAAUCAUUCACAAUGGGGGAAACCCUGAUGGUGCGACGCAGCGUGGGGGAAUGAAGGUCUUCGGAUUGUAAACCCCUGUUAUGUGGGAGCAAAUUAAAAAGAUAGUACCACAAGAGGAAGAGACGGCUAACUCUGUGCCAGCAUCCGCGGUAAUACAGAGGUCUCAAGCGUUGUUCGGAAUCACUGGGCGUAAAGUGUGCGUAGGCUGUUUCGUAAGGCGUGUGUGAAAGGCGCGGGCUCAACCCGCAGACGGCACAUGAUACUGGGAGACUAGAGUAAUGGAGGGGGAACCGGAAUUCUCGGUGUAGCAGUGAAAUGCGUAGAUAUCGAGAGGAACACUCGUGGCGAAGGCGGGUUCCUGGACAUUAACUGACGCUGAGGCACGAAGGCCAGGGGAGCGAAAGGGAUUAGAUACCCCGGUAGUC
This 446-nucleotide ribosomal RNA is filed under the name uncultured bacterium. RNAcentral describes it as "partial 16S ribosomal RNA". It matches the Rfam family "Bacterial small subunit ribosomal RNA", at positions 338 to 795 of the family's 1533-position model. The record is from RNAcentral.